Molecule: RNA transcript, 1245 nt
Organism: Pipistrellus kuhlii (Kuhl's pipistrelle)
Lineage: Eukaryota; Metazoa; Chordata; Mammalia; Chiroptera; Vespertilionidae
Exons: 6
Source: RefSeq, a predicted model, not a curated record
CGCCGGAGCUGAGGGUGAGGCCUGGGCGCGAGGGCCGUGCUUGUCAGAGCUGGACUGUGUGCAGCUGCACCCGCAACGCCGCUGUCCACGCUUGGCCUACGUGGCCGCCAGGUGGGCCCAGAGCCGUGCACACACGCCCGCGUCUGCAGACGGAAGAGGCUGGCGGGCAGGUGGUUACCAGUGCCUGCACAUGUGCCCCCGUGGAGGCCGAGGGCAGCCAUUGCUUUCCUGACAAGGACCCCUGCCUGCCUCUUCCGUGCCCUGUGUGCUGUCCACACCCCUGCCUCCUGCAGGCCUCGAUGCUCCACAGAGGCGGCCCGUGCAGAGCCAGGAGGAAGCAGGCCCAGACUGCUGCUGUGGAGAAGGCCAUCCUCCCGGAGGAGGCCUGGCCUGGAACGGGGAGUCCUUCCGAAGACCUGCCCUCCUGACCUGCUGCUGGCCCACAGCCCACCGGCACGGGGGAGGAGGCCUGGCCUGGAGAUGGGAGACCCGUCCUGCGGAAGAAGGCGGUGCUCCUCCUGAAGCUCAGCCGCACGCGGAAGGAGGAAGCCACGGUCCAGGUAAAGGUCAGGAAUUGCUACCUUUCUUUUAAUUUUUUUACUGUUCCACUUCAUUCCUGCUGUGUGUGCGCUCCACGUGAGUGACGUAGGCGCCUAUGCAGUUGGGUUCCCACUUGCAGCGACAAUCGUUUGCGUCGUGCGGUAGGAGCGGACCUCCGACGUGGCCCGAGGACCUGUGUACUGCAUCUGUCCCCUGUCACGGCCCCUGAGCUUAGUCGCUUUAACCGUGUGUGAGGCCGUGUGCAGAGCACGUCUGGGGCGGAGCACAGGGUUCUGUGGGAAUGGCCGCCACAAGCUGAGACGAUGCCCGUCCAUGUGGCAGGACCAGCUCUCGGGCUUCUCACAUCGCUGAGUGGCAUUGUCAUGUUUCAUUGUCCCGAUGUUUUUACGUUCAUGCGUGCUCUUCUCUGGGACAGACCAAGUAGGUCAGACGUUGAUGCUGAAAACGGAAGGUGAGCCGAGCUUGUUCCAGGCACAGCCAUGGACACGUCACAGCCAAUCUUCUCCUCCAGCCCCGAGGGGCACUGCUUCUGCGUCCUGCUCCCUGGAGGUCAAACAGUGUCAGCUCCUGGAGAAGGCUCCCUUUCCUGGCUCAGAACCCGGCUCUGCAGCCCAGCUCCAGGACGCCGCCUUGGCGUGAUGGAAGAGAAGGAGCCCAGCGUGGCCUGUGGAAGCCGGGACGGCC